UUAAGACCCGGGGCCAAGCAGCCAGCAGGUGCUUGAUUGUGGUGGCCAUUUUAGAGCUCUGGCCGCUCAUAUAAACAGGGCAGUUCGCUGCUAGGAGUCCAGGCAGCAAUAUUGCCUGGCUGAGAGGCUCCAUAACAUCCUGGAGGUACUUUAUGAUGGAACACUUUGUACUACAAUGUUCAUGUACAGAAGAUGCAAGUGCAGUUGGAAAAGAAAGUGCUUCAAACUAUUAUCCACAGCUCUUUGACCAUACUAUAUAUCAAUAUUUUUAUAGUGGUUCUGCUUAAAUGGGGCUGAGCACCAUUGGGUAGUUUAAAAGACUUAUUUAUAGUCCUUCCUGAUCACUUGAAUUUGUGCCUAUCUGAUCCAAGAAAUGCUGCAUGUUUGUCUUUGGCACAGCUUGUGCAAUGUGGAUUUCUCUACACUUGAGAAAAAGGGUAGCUGAAAACACAGAUGUCUCAGUGCAGUGUGAGGGAGUGUUGCUGUGGUGCACUCUAUAUACACCAUCUACCACUACCUUUCGUGUGUGCCCAGAGAAGCCAUAAGCUGGUUUCAGAGACAGAGUGUGUGGAGCAUGUGCCCUCAGUGCACCAGGAACAUCCUCCUAGUAUCUGCUUCCAGGCCCAAAUGGCAUAAUCACCCAAGCUCCCCCUUCACAGAAUAAGUACUUUAUCUCUCUUUCGGAUUACUUGGGAAAACAGAAAGCAUCUCAGCUGUGGCCAAAACUAGCGCAUUUUUGGCGCAGGGAUUCUCAAUCGUUCCUGAUGACCCUGUGCAUGGACUACUGUAUGUUGAAUGAGCCAGAGUAUGUGCAGGAGAGGGAAUGGCUUUACAGCCUAGUGGUUAGGGCACAGUCACUUGGAAGGUGAGUGAUGUUGGUUUAAAUUCCCUCUACCUGAGUGGGUUUCAGCCUCUCUCCCCCUCAUCUCAGCUGAAUAUCUUGACAACAAGACUCUUCGGUAAAAGGGAGGAGGGCCACUAAAUUCUCACCACCCCCUUCAUAUCUCUGUUUUUGUUAUGUUUGGGGGCAUAUUUUCAACAAAACAUUGUGUUAAUUUCCUUUCCAACACCCUACAACUGCAUUUCCAAAGAAUAAAAAAAAUUACCAAAAAAAAUUGCCCAGCUACUAUGACACCUCUCGCCCCAGUAUUUUUUACUGUGACUGCAAGUGAAAGACUCCAUCAAUUCUAGUGAUAUGGAAAAUGGAAAGUCUAUGCACCUUCAGCAUAACUUUUUGGUAGGCAUAAAUUUCAGAUUUCCACUUGAGGUAUAUCAAAGCAUCAGUCCUGAUACCUUUGAAGAAACGGAUGUGGUGAAGCAAUUAUUAAUGAUCUGCUGAUCAAUACUACAGUGAAAGGACACAUAACUUAAGGCAGAAUAUGAAAGAAAUGAAACUUAAAUAGAACUGCAACAAAUGCCAAAGAUGAUCAAGAGUGGAUAUGUAGGACACACUUAUUGACAAAGGAGUCUGACUGAACUGAAGCUUGCUGUACAAUGGAACGACUCUGAAAUGAGGAGACGACUGUACCAAUUAAGUGUUCUGCACAGAAGGCUGAAUGAGUACAACACAGGAUGAUUGGAAAGAAGCUUUCAAGAAUCAGUUAAAAUGUUACUGUAGUACUGGUACUACUGGUACUAACACAGGUGGAGAUUAACAGAGCCAAAGAAUUCAGUCAGCACUCACGUGGCACACAGGUUAUCCUUCUGGCAGAUAAUCUCUUAUCAAAAGGCUGACAUAAGUGCAUCACAGCUCUGCUCAGACCAAGAAAGGAAUGACAACAGUUGGUUUGAUUAUGAGCAAUUUCAUGAAUAAGUCCAUGGGCAGCAAAUGGUCAAAAUAGAUACAAACCAAAACUGCUGGAACUGAUAUUACAGGCACCUUUGUGCAAAGAGCUCCCUAGACUCCAGGAAACAACCAUGAAAUGACAAAAGCUCAAUGUCCAUCAGAUAAUUGAGGUCAGUUUCCACGCUCUCUACCUCAGUCAGUUAAAAGGGAAAGCAAGUUCCAAGCCAAGAUUUUUUCCCUAAGAAAUGUUUGCUGCCAGUCCCUCCUCUUUUUAUACAUAAGAGCACAUAGUUCAAGUAUGGUUUCUGGGACAGUAGCACGAGGGAGAUAGUCUAUCAGGUAGCCAGGAUCCAUGUCCCUUUGCAACUGUAUGUUAUGACAUUUUAAUACUUAGCUUCUCAACAUACUGUUUAGUGUUCACUCGUGUUCUACCAGUUUUACUCCUGUAAAUCAACGCUUCCUUCUGAAAUUAGUCCAGCUGGCAUGAAUGGAAUGGCUAAAGGAAUGUAGAGCUACUCAGGGUACAGACAAACAACUUACAGGGAGUAAAAAGGUAGCAGGGACUCACUGGUGUCAGCUCUGUGGUAAUUGUCUGUGUGCCUGUCCUCACCCCAUUAUAAGUAAAAAAAAAAGCUAAACUUUUAUAGCACAACCAUUUUUCACUGAACCCCCAUGUCAUCUCUAUGUAGCACACUGCAGCUCUGCAUGGGCUUACUUUGAAACUGAAAGCAGUGCAGCCACACUCACACAGCACUUUGGGCCAGCUGAUUAGCACUGCUGAGCAAUAGGGCCAGUUAGCCCACCUCUGUGCUAAUUAGCCUACCCAGGACACACUUCGGAUGCAGUUAGACUCUUUUUAGGGGGUAGUUUGUACAGCAGCUGCUGCUGCCAGGCAUGAUAUGUUUACUAUGUAGAUUUGGGCUCAGUGUGCAUUAGGGUGGUAGACGCAGCCCCUCAAAGGUAAAUUUAUAAUUUUAUAUGAUAAUCAAAUUGCUGAUUACAAAGAAGAGUAAAUUACUAAAUUUGCUGUAAUUUUUGAAGAUGUAAUCAUCAAAAGGAAGCUGCCUUCUUUACAGUUGGAAAAACAAAAUAAGUUCCCAUCAAAAUACAUUGCAAAGCAGAAGUUUGAGUUUUCAAGAAAGUUGCUAGAAUUAAGAGUUGAUCCCUUGCCUUUCAAGCAUGCAGUAAUAUGCUGCAUUCAUGCUCCAGUCCACGGGGCACAUGAACCCAGCCUUAACUCUGGAAGCAUAAGUAGCCUGGAUGCUUCAACUUUCACAGGCUUCAAGCAGUCAUAGAAUCAUAGGAUUGGAAGGGGCCUCAAGAGUCAUCAAGUUGAACCCCUUGUCUCAUUCAUUUCAGUGAGACUAAUCUCAGAAGGUCACAGACUUCCAUGAGACCACUCACAGGCUUUAGAGUUAAGCAAGUAGUUAAGACCCAUGCCAAAUUGGGCCUGCAUAUUUAACCUAACUGGUCAAAAUCUGUUCCUAGGAAGUAUCAGUCAAAUGACAGCUCCUGUUGGUUCUGCAGCAUAUUUACAGCUAUGUAGAUAGCAAACUGAUGAAAGGUAUUUUUCAUAAAUGGUUGUGAAAAGGUAUUUUUACCAUAACCUGCACCUUCAACUCCUGGCUGGGCACUUGGAACAGUGCUGCAAUGGAAAUAUGAAAUAUCGUUAAUUCAGAAAAUGAUGUAAUUAACAUAUGAUAAUUGAUUCAUUUUUCCUAUAAAUGCAAAUGAAUAGAGACUAAGAGCCUGUGGCAAAACUGCUGAAGUAAAAGGGAGGUGUGGGAGAAUGGAGAAAAGAUUUUGAUAUGAAAAUAUACAGUGCUUAACCUUGCUUCUUAAUUUUAGUUGAAACUUCAGGAGAAUUCUGAGCUCUGCACCAGCUCACUGUAUCUCAGUCUGAGACCGUAUCUCAGUCUCUGUUAGCUCCAUAGAAACCUGUCUCUUUUGGAUGAGACCUGACUGGACUUUGUUAAGCUUCCAUCUCAAAUCAGUCAUUAAAUAGGUCUUGAUUUAAGGAAAAUAUACAGCUAUUUGCAGUAGGUAAGACAGGGAAAACUUUCGUAUUUCCUCAAGGACAGGCCUAAAUGACAUAUGAUAGCACUGCUGAAAAUACAUGCAACAUAGUAGAAAGGUCUCAGAGGACAGGCAAUGAUGACAAAUGCCUUAGUAUGUAGACACAGUAAUCAUGAACUGUAGGUAACUUCUUGGGUUGAAAAGUGACCAACUUACCAUUUUCUGUGGCAAACAUUUGCCAAUAGGAAAACCCAGUCACAUAUAUAGUUUAACAGGCAGUGGUCAGAUCCCUAAAACCUCCAGCCCUACAGCCGCCUUCACUGGGAGCAGAGGUUGGCCAUUGAUGACAAUUUCUAAACAUCUCUUCCUUAAAAUCUGUUUGCCACAGUUUCACAUCAUAGCAAUUUUUAUCCAAUCCUUAAGCUCUGGGACCAGGUUCCAUCUUUUAUUAGGUACCUGGGCAGUGACUGGCACACCGGAGCCCUAAAUUUAAUUAGAACUUCUAGGUACUAUAAGAUAUACAAGGAUAAUCUGAUCCAAAUUUUUGGAGGCUGCAGGUGUUUUCAAGAUCAGGCCUUCCCUCACAAAGUUGACUAUCAAAGCUGAACCAAGUUUACAAUUGUCUCAGAAGUUUAUUUAUGCUGAAACACAAAACAAAGGCAAGCCAGGACAGCAAAGGUGAGAUGAAUGCAUUUCAGCUGGAAAGGUUGCAUGUGUCUCUCCUUAAUUUAUAGAUUAUCUACGAUUUAAAAGAGUAAACAGAGUCAUCCUGAGGAUGCAUCAACAUAGCUUUGCGAGCCACUGAAAUCUAGGUCAGAAUUUCAUUUCUGUCAUGAGGGAUCUCAUUAUAUAAAUCAGAGCGUUUGUCAGUUUCAGAAGCAAGUAAAAAAAUAUUUCAAGGCCUGUAUUAAGAUAAAGACCUACAAAACCAAUAGGUAGCACAUCCAUGGACCAAUUUAUAGGUUUAAAUAGUUUGCAUAAAGGCUGCUUUUUUCCCCAAGUUUUUUUUUUUAUAAAUGAGUCAUUACUAAUUAACUGCAGAACCAUAUCCCUUAGUCAUCAGUAACCUCAGUCUUGUUAGGAAGUUUAAUUGUCCAGUUGUGUUCCAAACAAGGCUUGGCAAUAUUUGGUAUCGGUAGCUAAGUUGUCUUUCUGUAUUUGUAUUAAAUUAUUGAAUCAGUAGUUUGAUAGCAGCAUCAUGUAGGCUAUUAAUAGAAGACAUUAUGUGGACUAAUAAAUCCUUAUUACACUGGUUUGGAAUCCUAAUAUAAAUUUUAAAGGAUGUGAAUCCAUUUUGCAUAUAGGUCCCCAUUUUAAGCCUAGUCUUUCAAGCCAGAGAAAACAUAUAAAAGGAAAUAUUUAAAGAAAAGCAAUUCAUUUUCCUCAUAAGUUUCUGUAAGUCUCGUAAGUCUUAAUGCUAAUUACCAGAGACCUCCUUGUAAGAAUGUUAUUGCCAGUAAGUCAACUUCUUGUGCUGCCCUCCCUUCAGUAAGUAAGUUAUAGUCUCAUGGUCUGUUUAUUUAAAUUUUACAAGUUAAUUGAGUGUUUGUGAAAUGUGCCAGAUUGAAAGCCCCCAAAACUGAAGUCUUCUAUGUAUCCACAGAUCAGAUGCAGUGUGGGUUGUGGUAAUACAAGUUUUCCUGCUGUGCCCUGAAAAUAUGUCUCGUCUGAUGUGGAGUGGCCCCCUCCAAGGGUGACUUUAGUUCAGCCUAUUAACUAUUUACUUGAUCUAUCCUCUAGGACUGCCAGUAAGCAUUCCAGUUAUAAUGGUGUUUUUGUGAUGUGGAGGUCGGUCCACUGUGAACUGGCCUGAUGCCAAACACUUAUUCGCAUAAGCCAACAAACAGCUGUCAUGUGGUAAUUACUUGUUGUUGGGGCAGGAUGCAAACUGGUAGAGUGGAUUAAGAUUAAAUGGGACAUGGGUACAAUGAAGAAUGAAGAUGCAAUGCUGAUUACGUAAUUUUCAUCAGCAGUGUGGAAAACCAUAUUAAAAAGUCCCCAAUACUAAAAAUAUGUCAUUUUAUUUCUAACCCAUCUGUCCCUUUUCCUCUUUGAAUGGGUCAGUCCACUUAUCCAUAGAAACAUAGAACUCUUGUUUCUUCUCCAACCCAUAUGGUCAUUCAAAUUCCCUGUUACAACUUCCCCUGGUAUGCAAAAUUGGACCUUUUAGUACAUUUUACAAUGAGCAGGGAAUUCCUAAACUCAUGAUGUUUUACACCCACAGUCACGCCUUGCAAGGUAUAUGUAAAGCAACAGAGCAUCAGGCUCUCUCUGUGUAAUAUGGAUUCACAACUAAAAGUUUAUCAUUUUUUAAAUAACAAGUAGAUAUCAGCACAAAGAUUAAAUGUGUGAAACAGGAAGACUUGAUAUGUACUUACUCAUCUAAGCUUGAUCUGUGUAGACUGUGGAAAUGUAUUUGAAUGAUAUAUUAUGUCAGUAAAUGUAAAACCACUUUGAGGUGGUUCUAUUAGAUGCGACUGAGACUAGAGAUGCGGGAAGCCAAAUUGGCUUCUGCAGGUUCCACCAUGUAAUUCGACCCAAUGAGUGGGAGGAAAAAAGGAAGCUAGGCAGGGGAAGAGAAGCACUUAUAAAUCUGCCUCUGACUUUUUCUAAGGCUGUUUUAUUUUUUCCUGAAAGACAUUUUUCUCUCCCAGUGGGAGAGCUUCACUCCCACUCAUGCUCCUUUUGUAAGGGUUUCAUUUCAGUGCUAACUUUUCUCUUCUUUCCCGAUUGGUGUUUGUCUGGUUUUCUUCUUUCUGAUGCUUUACAUUCUACACUUCUUUCUCCUCCUGCCUGCU
Long non-coding RNA from Alligator mississippiensis (American alligator), 6600 nucleotides. RefSeq lists it as uncharacterized. The record is from RefSeq and is a predicted model, not a curated record. NCBI's taxonomy places the organism in Eukaryota, Metazoa, Chordata, Crocodylia, Alligatoridae. The transcript is spliced from 3 exons.